RNAcentral lists this ribosomal RNA (426 nucleotides) under uncultured bacterium. Its description in RNAcentral is "bacterial SSU rRNA". It matches the Rfam family "Bacterial small subunit ribosomal RNA", at positions 355 to 773 of the family's 1533-position model. The record is from RNAcentral.
UGGGGAAUUUUGGACAAUGGGCGCAAGCCUGAUCCAGCAAUGCCGCGUGCAGGAUGAAGGCCUUCGGGUUGUAAACUGCUUUUGUACGGAACGACAAAGCUCUCUCUAAUACAGGGGGUGAAUGACGGUACCGUAAGAAUAAGCACCGGCUAACUACGUGCCAGCAGCCGCGGUAAUACGUAGGGUGCAAGCGUUAAUCGGAAUUACUGGGCGUAAAGCGUGCGCAGGCGGUUUUGUAAGACAGAGGUGAAAUCCCCGGGCUCAACCUGUGAAAUGCCUUUGUGACUGCAAAGCUGGAGUGCGGCUGAGGGGGAUCGAAUUCCGCGUGUAGCAGUGAAAUGCGUAGAUAUGCGGAGGAACACCGAUGGCGAAGGCAAUCCCCUGGGCCUGCACUGACGCUCAUGCACGAAAGCGUGGGGAGCAAAC